GUCCCCGUAGCUCAGCAGGAUAGAGCACAUGCCUCCUAAGCAUGGGGUCGGACGUUCGAAUCGUCUCGGGGACGCCA
Molecule: transfer RNA, 77 nt
Filed under: Synergistaceae bacterium OttesenSCG-928-D05
Lineage: Bacteria; Thermotogati; Synergistota; Synergistia; Synergistales; Synergistaceae
Description: tRNA-Arg
Rfam family: tRNA
About the family: Transfer RNA (tRNA) molecules are approximately 80 nucleotides in length.
Source: RNAcentral